Molecule: long non-coding RNA, 201 nt
Filed under: Ananas comosus (pineapple)
Lineage: Eukaryota; Viridiplantae; Streptophyta; Magnoliopsida; Poales; Bromeliaceae
Description: long non-coding RNA (ACOM_LNC007419)
Source: RNAcentral
AGUUAUAGACCUUUAAUUUUCGGAUUGCGGAUUGGUGGUCGUUUGGUGGUCGAGCAUGAGAUUGGGCCGAACCGGGCGGCGUGUGCCGCGGGAGGCCGAUUGCAAGUGACUACAAGCAAUCAGAAAGCGAUUUGAGGUGGGUUGUGCUCACCGAAAUGUUUAGCUCACUUCCAUGUCGAAGUGGAGUAUGGUUGUAUUGUU